GCGAACUGUAUGAGGUGGCCAUGUACCACUUGAAUCAGUGUUCAAGAUAAUGUAUGGGCCGUGAAUGUCAAUUAGAAUAUAAAUCUGUGCCUCGUUCCCAUCAGUGUAUUCAACAAUUUUGCGGAAGAGGAAUGGUCUCCGCCGACGUUUUCUCUGUACAUUGCCCUGGUGUGGCAGUAAUCGUUUUCGGCUCUGAUGUGACAUCCAGACUCCGGCAUUUGCUGUAGAAUCCGGCGAGGAAGUGAGUUCAGCCGGGCCCUGGAGCAGAUUCGGUUGAUUGUCUUCAAGUGUCAGCUGCGGCCAUUCCAUAUUGACUAUCAAGAGAGAACGGAAGAUCAGGAGAAUGCAGGUAUACAGAGAUAUAUGUCCAAACUGAAGGGUAUCCGCGAGAAUGCUCUGCUCUCCUGGAAGCAAAGCGCAUGGUAUUUAUACGGUUUGAGAGGAGCAGAAAAAGAGCAGACGUGUGCUUAAAUGGAGUGCACAAGACGACUGCAAGCCCAAAAGUGUUUCCCCCUCAGGCCUAGGAGCAGAAUAUAACCACCACCAUGUUCCUUGAAACCGAAGUUCCAUCUAUAUCAACUUCUCCCCAUCAGCCGUCUGCCACUAUGUCAAAUUUUUCCCCCGGUAUGAUCCCAGAACACCAUAGACAUGGAAUAAGGAAACUGUGUGUAACAUGAUGGCUAUAUGCGAGUGCAAGAUCAGCCUAGCCGUGAUGGCCUGCUAUGUCACUGCAAUUGGUGAGUCCACGGCGGCUAUAUGGGCACCCAGGCGGCUUCAUUUCUGGAACUUUGGACUUCUGAAUUUCUGAAUUUCUUCACUUCUACAUUUUUGGUCUUUUUACAUACUUAUAUUCUUUACUAGUCACCCCUUUUAGAAGUUGUUCCCUUUUCCUGUCAGCAUAGCAUCUUUCUGCAAUGCUAGAGGUAGCACAAAAAGAGCAGCAUAGCCUAAUUCGGAGACUCGGCUCCCUUUUCUUUUAGUGGUAAAUAGGGGUUAAUGGCAC
RNAcentral lists this small RNA (1003 nucleotides) under Histoplasma capsulatum var. duboisii H88. RNAcentral's name for it is "Histoplasma capsulatum H88 hypothetical RNA". Lineage: Eukaryota; Fungi; Ascomycota; Eurotiomycetes; Onygenales; Ajellomycetaceae. The record is from RNAcentral.